This 491-nucleotide ribosomal RNA is filed under the name uncultured bacterium. RNAcentral describes it as "partial 16S ribosomal RNA". It matches the Rfam family "Bacterial small subunit ribosomal RNA", at positions 29 to 506 of the family's 1533-position model. The record is from RNAcentral.
AGUGAACGCUGGCGGUAGGCCUAACACAUGCAAGUCGAACGGCAGCACAGUAAGAGCUUGCUCUUACGGGUGGCGAGUGGCGGACGGGUGAGGAAUACAUCGGAAUCUACUUUUUCGUGGGGGAUAACGUAGGGAAACUUACGCUAAUACCGCAUACGACCUACGGGUGAAAGCAGGGGAUCUUCGGACCUUGCGCGAUUGAAUGAGCCGAUGUCGGAUUAGCUAGUUGGCGGGGUAAAGGCCCACCAAGGCGACGAUCCGUAGCUGGUCUGAGAGGAUGAUCAGCCACACUGGAACUGAGACACGGUCCAGACUCCUACGGGAGGCAGCAGUGGGGAAUAUUGGACAAUGGGCGCAAGCCUGAUCCAGCCAUACCGCGUGGGUGAAGAAGGCCUUCGGGUUGUAAAGCCAUUUUGUUGGGAAAGAAAAGCAGCAGGUUAAUACCCCGCUGUUCUGACGGUACCCAAAGAAUAAGCACCGGCUAACUUCGU